UCGGGGGUAGAGCACUGUUUCGGCUAGGGGGCCAUCCCGGCUUACCAACCCGAUGCAAACUGCGAAUACCGA
RNAcentral lists this non-coding RNA (72 nucleotides) under Plasmopara halstedii. The record is from Rfam by way of RNAcentral. Lineage: Eukaryota; Oomycota; Peronosporomycetes; Peronosporales; Peronosporaceae.